CUACGGGGUGCACCAGUGGGGAAUAUUGCACAAUGGAGGAAACUCUGAUGCAGCAACGCCGCGUGGAGGAUGACACUUUUCGGAGCGUAAACUCCUUUUAUAUAGGAAGAAGAUGACGGUACUAUAUGAAUAAGCGCCGGCUAACUCCGUGCCAGCAGCCGCGGUAAUACGGAGGGCGCAAGCGUUACUCGGAAUCACUGGGCGUAAAGAGCGUGUAGGCGGAUUAAAAAGUCAGAAGUGAAAUCCUAUAGCUUAACUAUAGAACUGCUUCUGAAACUCUUAAUCUAGAAUGUGGGAGAGGUAGAUGGAAUUUCUGGUGUAGGGGUAAAAUCCGUAGAGAUCAGAAGGAAUACCGAUUGCGAAGGCGAUCUACUAGAACAUUAUUGACGCUGAGACGCGAAAGCGUGGGGAGCAAACAGGAUUAGAUACCCGGGUAGUC
RNAcentral lists this ribosomal RNA (439 nucleotides) under uncultured bacterium. RNAcentral describes it as "partial 16S ribosomal RNA". It matches the Rfam family "Bacterial small subunit ribosomal RNA", at positions 339 to 795 of the family's 1533-position model. The record is from RNAcentral.